CUGUAUUUCCUGUUUAUGAAGCUUCUACAAACACAUGAAGUUUCAAACCUGUUGCUUUCUGAACUGUAAUGAACUAACACUUUUCAUUUGCAGAUUAUCUCAGAAGGAAAUGGAGAGAGGGGAUGACCAGAUAGAUGAACAAAAAGGUCAAUUUUAACAGCUAAAGAGUGCAUCCUUACACUACACAGGUCCUCUGACAAUCCGCCCAUUAUCUGCAGAGUUAUGAGGAUCCCAAAUAAACGUGGCUUGCAUACACAUAGUUCAGAAACUUCAGGUUAUACUGGUACUUCAUGCACAAGAAAGAGUUCCCUGAAAACAUUAAACCUCAUCCAAGACUGAAUCCACCACCAAAAAGGAGUAAAGGAAUGGACACAGACAUCUUUGCAGGAGGCUGGAGGUUGAAGCUUCUCUACUCCAUGCCAGCGAUUCACCCAGCCUCCACUGCCUUCUUUCCUUCGCUGCCCUUUGAAUCACAGUGUGUGAAAGACAGAGCACUGAAAACAAAAAGGCAAGUGGGUAAGUGGCUGGGGAAACUGAAAAGGCUAAGGAUAUUGCAGAGAGCAGCUGACAACUGAACAAGUUCAGGAAAUACUGUGUCAGAGGGGAGAACAGUCCAAUGACCUGUGGAAACAGGUGAAAGUCUACACUAAAGCUGUGUGAUCAAGCAGGAGACCUACUAAAUGCCAUUUUACUUUUGCUUGUUUUACUGAUCUUAAUUUAAAAACCAUGACUAAAACAUAGGAAGGCAGAACCAAGACCAUUAAAUGAGCAGAACAUCAAUUCCCACAAACUUUGAGCUAUACUGUGUGCUCUGUAUAAGCAUAAGGAGAUUCUUAAAAAGCUCUGCAAAUGAUAAACCUCCUUUUCUCAAGAUAAUUGGCAUGGACAAUGCAUCUGUAUUUUAGACUUUACUGUUCAGGAGGUUAAUGAACUUAAUGUUCAGAAUUCUUGGAGGUGAAAAUAAAAUAAAAUAAACAAGCCA
Molecule: long non-coding RNA, 982 nt
Filed under: Anas platyrhynchos platyrhynchos (common mallard)
Lineage: Eukaryota; Metazoa; Chordata; Aves; Anseriformes; Anatidae
Description: lncRNA (ENSAPLG00000018073.1)
Source: RNAcentral